CCUACGUGGGGCAGCAGUGGGGAAUAUUGGACAAUGGGGGGAACCCUGAUCCAGCCAUGCCGCGUGUGUGAAGAAGGCCCUCGGGUUGUAAAGCACUUUCAGUGAGGAAGAACGCCUGGUGGUUAAUACCCAUCAGGAAAGACAUCACUCACAGAAGAAGCACCGGCUAACUCCGUGCCAGCAGCCGCGGUAAUACGGAGGGUGCGAGCGUUAAUCGGAAUUACUGGGCGUAAAGCGCGCGUAGGUGGCUUGAUAAGCCGGUUGUGAAAGCCCCGGGCUCAACCUGGGAACGGCAUCCGGAACUGCCAAGCUAGAGUGCAGGAGAGGAAGGUAGAAUUCCCGGUGUAGCGGUGAAAUGCGUAGAGAUCGGGAGGAAUACCAGUGGCGAAGGCGGCCUUCUGGACUGACACUGACACUGAGGUGCGAAAGCGUGGGUAGCAAACAGGAUUAGAUACCCGAGUAGUC
Molecule: ribosomal RNA, 465 nt
Filed under: Vreelandella stevensii
Lineage: Bacteria; Pseudomonadati; Pseudomonadota; Gammaproteobacteria; Oceanospirillales; Halomonadaceae
Description: partial 16S ribosomal RNA
Rfam family: Bacterial small subunit ribosomal RNA
Source: RNAcentral